This 433-nucleotide ribosomal RNA is filed under the name uncultured bacterium. RNAcentral's name for it is "partial 16S ribosomal RNA". It matches the Rfam family "Bacterial small subunit ribosomal RNA", at positions 29 to 507 of the family's 1533-position model. The record is from RNAcentral.
AACGAACGCUGGCGGCAGGCCUAACACAUGCAAGUCGAGCGAGGACUUCGGUCCUAGCGGCGGACGGGUGAGUAACGCGUGGGAACGUGCCCUUUGCUUCGGAAUAGCCCUGGGAAACUGGGAGUAAUACCGGAUGAGCCCUUUGGGGGAAAGAUUUAUCGGCGAAGGAUCGGCCCGCGUUGGAUUAGGUAGUUGGUGGGGUAAUGGCCUACCAAGCCGACGAUCCAUAGCUGGUUUGAGAGGAUGAUCAGCCACACUGGGACUGAGACACGGCCCAGACUCCUACGGGAGGCAGCAGUGGGGAAUCUUAGACAAUGGGGGAAACCCUGAUCUAGCCAUGCCGCGUGAGCGAUGAAGGCCUUAGGGUUGUAAAGCCCUUUCAGCUGGGAAGAUAAUGACGGUACCAGCAGAAGAAGCCCCGGCUAACUCCGUG